Molecule: ribosomal RNA, 253 nt
Filed under: uncultured bacterium
Lineage: Bacteria
Description: partial 16S ribosomal RNA
Rfam family: Bacterial small subunit ribosomal RNA
Source: RNAcentral
UACGUAGGGGGCUAGCGUUGUCCGGAAUCAUUGGGCGUAAAGCGCGUGUAGGCGGUCCGGUAAGUCCGCUGUGAAAGUCGAGGGCUCAACCCUCGAAUGCCGGUGGAUACUGUCGGGCUUGAGUACGGGAGAGGCGAGUGGAAUUCCUGGUGUAGCGGUGAAAUGCGCAGAUAUCAGGAGGAACACCGAUUGCGAAGGCAGCUCGCUGGAACGUUACUGACGCUGAGGAGCGAAAGCCAGGGGAGCAAACGGG